This 253-nucleotide ribosomal RNA is filed under the name uncultured bacterium. RNAcentral describes it as "partial 16S ribosomal RNA". It matches the Rfam family "Bacterial small subunit ribosomal RNA", at positions 524 to 776 of the family's 1533-position model. The record is from RNAcentral.
UACGUAGGAGACGAGCGUUGUCCGGAGUUACUGGGCGUAAAGGGUGCGCAGGCGGCCUUGCGCGUCGCGAGUGAAAUCUCCCGGCUCAACUGGGAGGGUGGUCGCGAGACGGCAGGGCUUGAGGCUCGGUGAGGGGCGUGGAAUUCCGGGUGGAGCGGUGAAAUGCGUAGAUAUCGCUUGGAACGCCAAAGGUGAAAACAGGUUGCUGGGGUUGUGCCGACGCUGAGACACGAAAGCCAGGGGAGCAAACGGG